GAUGAACGCUGGCGGCGUGCUUAACACAUGCAAGUCGAACGGUGAAGGCGGAGCUUGCUCUGCUGGAUCAGUGGCGAACGGGUGAGUAACACGUGAGCAAUCUGCCCCUGACUCUGGGAUAAGCGCUGGAAACGGCGUCUAAUACUGGAUACGAGCUGCGAAGGCAUCUUCAGCAGCUGGAAAGAAUUUCGGUCGGGGAUGGGCUCGCGGCCUAUCAGCUUGUUGGUGAGGUAUUGGCUCACCAAGGCGUCGACGGGUAGCCGGCCUGUGAGGGUGACCGGCCAAACUGGGACUGAGAGACGGAGCAGACGCGUACGGGAGGCAGCAGUGGGGAAUAUUGCACAAUGGGCGAAAGCCUGAUGAAGAAAAGCAGCGUGAGGGACGACGGCCUUCGGGUUGUAAAACUCUUUUAGCAGGGAAGAAGCGAAAGUGACGGUACCUGAAGAAAAAGCGCCGGCUAACUACGUG
This 468-nucleotide ribosomal RNA is filed under the name uncultured bacterium. Its description in RNAcentral is "partial 16S ribosomal RNA". It matches the Rfam family "Bacterial small subunit ribosomal RNA", at positions 28 to 507 of the family's 1533-position model. The record is from RNAcentral.